CAGAUACAAACGAGUACCUGGUUAUAGUUUAACCCCAACUGCCUUUUCAGGCCUCUCCUUAGCAGCAGAAGUUCCUUGAGGAGCAGUGCCACCUUUCCAUGAAGCAUCUUAUGUCAGAUGUCAAGAACUGAGCAAAUGAAUAAAUAUACUGAAGAUAAUGGGAGCCAGUUCUUGCUGUUGGAGAAGAGAGUUACAAAUAUAAAGAGAAGGAAGACUAAAAUCAAAUUUACAGUAUUGGGAUCCCUGGGUGGCACAGCGGUUUAGCGCCUGCCUUUGGCCCAGGGCGCGAUCCUGGAGACCCGGGAUCGAAUCCCACGUCGGGCUCCCGGUGCAUGGAGCCUGCUUCUCCC
Molecule: long non-coding RNA, 350 nt
Organism: Canis lupus familiaris (dog)
Lineage: Eukaryota; Metazoa; Chordata; Mammalia; Carnivora; Canidae
Exons: 3
Source: RefSeq, a predicted model, not a curated record